Fukomys damarensis (Damara mole-rat) is the source of this 1447-nucleotide long non-coding RNA. RefSeq lists it as uncharacterized. The record is from RefSeq and is a predicted model, not a curated record. Lineage: Eukaryota; Metazoa; Chordata; Mammalia; Rodentia; Bathyergidae. The transcript is spliced from 8 exons.
CUCUUAUUAGGGCCUACUCGGGCCCAUACCUCAAAGAAACGCUCCCACCUGCUGCGAACAUCCCCAAACCCUCUUCCCGUUUAAGAGGCUUGGGAUGACUGCACAGUACACAAAUCUCCGCCCCAGCACCGCCGGCCGCCCCGCUGCCCUCUGGGAAAUGUAGUCCGAAGGCUCUAAUCCAGCUCUAGACGCUACCUCUCCGAUCCCAGCACGGACUUCAACUACCGAGAGGCUGGUCGGCCGACCGCCGCCAUUCAACAGCUGCCAGUGACAUCAGAGCCGCCUUCACACGAAGAGGCUACCAAGCCAAUUAGGAUGAGGCGGAAGCCAUCCAACGCAUAACUGGAGUUUACAGUGUAUAAUCAAACUUGAAAACGCCCGAACCAACCUGAGCACUAUAAAUUUGGUGAAGUAUAAGAAUUGAGGGAUUCCUGAAUUCAAUAAGCUUCUAUCUUCUAGAUGUAUUAGAUGCUGAACUACAUGAAAAUACACAAGUGAUGCAAGAGAUAAGAACACAGAAGUGAGGCUUUUGACCUCCGAGACCACUCCAGAGCCAAGUUUGGACUUUUUGUGUGAGAAUGAGUGGGACGCCGUGGACAAGUGCUCCCCAACUGUCUCCAUCCCGAAAAGCUUCCUGGUUCAGAUUUGUUUCUUCAUGCAAGGAUAGUUCCUCCCCUGCUCAUCUUGCAAAGAGUAAACAAAGCCUACUUUCCUCCACUGCAUGGAGUUAGUGCUGGCAGAACUCAUGAGACCCCUGAAUCAAAGACAGUGGACUUUAUUAUCACACAAAAAUGAAAAUGUGCAUUAUUUUCCUUUUGCCCAAGACCCACAGGGCUGAAAGAAAGGCCUCAGGGCAAAAAUAAGAAAAAGGAGAAGAGGCACAAAAGAAGUGCUCAGGGAGAAAGAAGUUCUUUGAUAAGAGAGAAGACAUGUCCUGCAAACAGAAUGCACAACUAGAAGAACAGGAAGGCAGUGCUUCUCAAGCACCAGAGGCCAUCCUUCAACGCCCCUUCGAUAGCUGCUCCAGGGGGCCCCAUUUAAUCUUGUGCAGGAAGUUUGACAUUAGUCGUCUAGUACUUUGCGUUCUGGUGUCAGAAGAUUGGUAUGGGGUACAGGGCGGCUCAGCUUGGUCUGUUUCACCCUCAGGUGCAGCUGUUCUGUGCUCCUGGUUAAUACACAUGUCUCUUCAGUUGGUAGGUUGUGCCCACGGCUCCAACCACAAGAGCCAUGCCCUUAUCUCCUACUACGCUGUCUCGUGGAUUACAUAAGAAGAGAAAGAACAACUUCCCAUCUUGUAAACAAAAACAGUCAGCAAACUAUGAUAGUAAACUCAUGAAUGUCAAGUAAACUUUGCUACAAUUUCAACACAUUUCACAGCUUCUUUUUAGAUACAAGUGUUAUAAACCAUGGCAAAAACAUAUAUACUUUAAAAUUUCAGUCUGCUUUA